AUUUUUAAUUAAAUAGUAAAUGGCAUUUGAAUUUUUAAUAUAACUUUAUUAGUUUAUUAGAUAUAAACAUUUAAAGUUUCAAAUUUUUGAGUUAAUAUACAUGUAUAAUACACAUGAUGAUAUGAUUACAAAUACAGGUAGCUAAAUGGUUUAUAUGAUAUCAAUGUCGCAGUCACGGAUUGUUUAUUAUCAAUUAUGACUAUCAUAGAUAUACUUUCUGUAUUGACAGUUAGUGUAUUUAUAAACUCACAACAAUGUGCCUUACUACCAUUGAUAAUAACAAUGCUGUGUACCUGCUAAUUUCUUUGAAGUUGUUUUAAACAAAGUAACUCAUAACUAAAUACUUUAUUUAUAAUAAGUAAACAAAUAAUAAAAUCUCCUUUCAGUAUUGAUGUUCGUAAAUUACUUGCUUUUGAUGAUGUUUCAGUGUCAUUCCACUUCGAAAUUAUAAAUAACGAUUCAAUUAGGUACACAAAAAGCUCAAGAAAAUCAUUGACAGCAUAAAAACGUUCAACUCAUUUAGUCGCACAUAAUUGUUUUAAUGAUUUUUUAGUUAUACAUUUUUGACUUUCUUCGAUUUGACUUUUCAACACAUCUUUUCGCUUUGGAAGAUGAAUAAGAAAUAGCAAGGUUUAAAACAUGAACAGCACAAUGAACAAACGUCGCAAGCGGAUAACUUUGGUGAAUAAGAGAUUGAGCUCCGUUAAAUUGACCAGACAUAGAAGCACAUCCAUCGUAACACUGUCCUCUAAGUAGUAUCUGUUGUAGGCGCAAACUGAAGAAUUCUUUCUUGAUAAUCAUAUUUUCAACAUCUAAAUAUCGAACACACAAAGUUACUUGUUUGCUUCCACCA
Molecule: long non-coding RNA, 853 nt
Organism: Daktulosphaira vitifoliae (grape phylloxera)
Lineage: Eukaryota; Metazoa; Arthropoda; Insecta; Hemiptera; Phylloxeridae
Exons: 3
Source: RefSeq, a predicted model, not a curated record